This 494-nucleotide ribosomal RNA is filed under the name uncultured bacterium. Its description in RNAcentral is "partial 16S ribosomal RNA". It matches the Rfam family "Bacterial small subunit ribosomal RNA", at positions 28 to 507 of the family's 1533-position model. The record is from RNAcentral.
GACGAACGCUGGCGGCGUGCUUCACACAUGCAAGUCGAACGGUGAAGCGCCUUCCUUUUUGGUGGGUGUGGAUGAGUGGCGAACGGGUGAGUAACACGUGAGUAACCUGCCCCCUUCUUCUGGAUAACCGCAUGAAAGUGUGGCUAAUACGGGAUAUUCUGGGUCUGUCGCAUGAUGGGUCUGGGAAAGAUAUUGUUUCGGUGGGGGAUGGGCUCGCGGCCUAUCAGCUUGUUGGUGGGGUGAUGGCCUACCAAGGCGGUGACGGGUAGCCGGCCUGAGAGGGUGGACGGUCACACUGGGACUGAGACACGGCCCAGACUCCUACGGGAGGCAGCAGUGGGGAAUAGUGCACAAUGGGCGCAAGCCUGAUGCAGCGACGCCGCGUGAGGGAUGGAGGCCUUCGGGUUGUGAACCUCUUUCGCCAGUGAAGCAGGCCUGCCUCGUUUGUGGGUGGGUUGACGGUAGCUGGAUAAGAAGCGCCGGCUAACUACGUG